This 625-nucleotide ribosomal RNA is filed under the name uncultured fungus. Its description in RNAcentral is "eukaryotic LSU rRNA". It matches the Rfam family "Eukaryotic large subunit ribosomal RNA", at positions 24 to 664 of the family's 3401-position model. Lineage: Eukaryota; Fungi. The record is from RNAcentral.
CCCGCUGAACUUAAGCAUAUCAAUAAGCGGAGGAAAAGAAACCAACAGGGAUUGCCUCAGUAACGGCGAGUGAAGCGGCAACAGCUCAAAUUUGAAAUCUGGCUCUUUUAGGGCCCGAGUUGUAAUUUGUAGAGGAUGCUUCGGCGUCGGCUCCGGUCUAAGUUCCUUGGAACAGGACGUCAUAGAGGGUGAGAAUCCCGUAUGUGAUCGGUUGCCUUUGCCAUGUGAAGCCCCUUCGACGAGUCGAGUUGUUUGGGAAUGCAGCUCUAAAUGGGAGGUAAAUUUCUUCUAAAGCUAAAUACUGGCCAGAGACCGAUAGCGCACAAGUAGAGUGAUCGAAAGAUGAAAAGCACUUUGGAAAGAGAGUGAAACAGUACGUGAAAUUGUUGAAAGGGAAACGCUUGAAGUCAGUCGCGUCUUCUGGAACUCAGCCGUGCUUCUGCUAGGCGCAUUUUCCAGUUUGACGGGUCAGCAUCGGUUUCGGUGGGCAGACAAAGGCGCAGGGAAGGUGGCCGCUCCGGUGGUGUUAUAGCCCUGCGUUGUAUGUGCCCGCUGGGACCGAGGAAUCCGGCUCGCGCCUGGGAUGCUGGCGUAAUGGCUCUAAGCGACCCGUCUUGAAACACGG